RNAcentral lists this transfer RNA (73 nucleotides) under Candidatus Shikimatogenerans bostrichidophilus. RNAcentral describes it as "tRNA-Gly". It matches the Rfam family "tRNA". Rfam says of the family: Transfer RNA (tRNA) molecules are approximately 80 nucleotides in length. Their secondary structure includes four short double-helical elements and three loops (D, anti-codon, and T loops). The record is from RNAcentral. Lineage: Bacteria; Pseudomonadati; Bacteroidota; Flavobacteriia; Flavobacteriales.
GCGGGAAUAAUUCAAAAGGUAGAAUGUCAGCCUUCCAAGUUGAAUGUUACGGGUUCGAUUCCCGUUUCCCGCU